GAAUUACGUAAAAGGGCACAAAAACUAGAAGUCAAUACAAAUUGGCAUAAGAUUUCAACAUAAGCACGGUAAUGGAACCAAUCCAUCUAGUGAUGGAAUCUCCCCUCUUAGCCCUCACAAUAACAUAUACUACAAACCAAGUGCAGCAAACUAGAUUAUAGAAGUCUCCACAGCAGUCUGAUGCUAUUCCCACUCCAGCAAAUCAGAAUUCAGAAGCCGUGGAUCUUGAUGCGCUCUUUCUUCACUAUGCCAGCCUGAACAAGGAAAGUAGAAACAUUCUUCCGCUGAUCGCCUUGGAGCUGGAUAACCUGGCCCAGUUCUGAGUC
This 326-nucleotide unclassified non-coding RNA is filed under the name Hevea brasiliensis (rubber tree). Lineage: Eukaryota; Viridiplantae; Streptophyta; Magnoliopsida; Malpighiales; Euphorbiaceae. The record is from RNAcentral.